RNAcentral lists this long non-coding RNA (610 nucleotides) under Astyanax mexicanus (Mexican tetra). RNAcentral's name for it is "lncRNA (ENSAMXG00005017468.1)". Lineage: Eukaryota; Metazoa; Chordata; Actinopteri; Characiformes; Acestrorhamphidae. The record is from RNAcentral.
GCCAAGCCUAGCUCAGGCUAUAAAAGGACUUACAGACACUGUAGUUACUUUUUUAGUGUAAGUUAGUAUUUUUCGCACUAUAAAGCGCACUUAAAAUAUUUUAAUUUUCCCAAAAAUUGACAGUGCACUUUAUAAUGUGGUGCCACUCACUGAAGUACAGCGUUACAUAGAAGUUUCAGUGAAGUUUCUCCAGCACAGAGGCUGGAGCAGUGUUAGCAUUAGCAGCUAACCGCAAUGCUAGCUCUUUUGUCGUUCAGAGAUGAUUGAAUUGGUCAGUUACAAGCCAAAUAAAGGUUCUCUGGACAGAGAAAGGAGUCACACAUGGGUGAACCUCAGGAAAGCCUUCUCUAUAUAGCGAGCUAAAAGGAUGACUGGUUUUUGUCAAAACACUGUGGAAAGGGCCUGAAAAGGAAAGGCAGGCACCGUCACCCAACCACGAACGAACUUCCAUCGAGCUUAUAGCAGCGGGACAUGAGGAAGAGAAAAGAAAUUGAAUAAGAUGAAUAAGUUUGCUGGAGGGGCACCUGAGGACAGACGCUGUGGAUCUCCACAUCUUUACCUCAAGCACUCUGACUGUCCCACAAUGGUAUCCAGGUAUCCCAUGUCAGGU